Molecule: unclassified non-coding RNA, 254 nt
Filed under: uncultured Gemmatimonadota bacterium
Lineage: Bacteria; Pseudomonadati; Gemmatimonadota
Description: uncultured Gemmatimonadetes bacterium contains 16S-23S intergenic spacer region
Rfam family: Bacterial small subunit ribosomal RNA
Source: RNAcentral
UACGAAGGGUGCAAGCGUUGUUCGGAAUUAUUGGGCGUAAAGCGCACGUAGGCGGCCGUUUAAGUCUCGCGGUGAAAGGCCGGGGCUCAACCCCGCGCUUGCCAGGGAUACUGGACGGCUGGAGACAGGUAGAGGCGAGUGGAAUUCCGGGUGUAGCGGUGGAAUGCGUAGAGAUCCGGAAGAACACCAGAGGCGAAGGCGGCUCGCUGGACCUGAUCUGACGCUGAGGUGCGAAAGCGUGGGGAGCGAACAGG